Molecule: long non-coding RNA, 466 nt
Organism: Xenia sp. Carnegie-2017
Lineage: Eukaryota; Metazoa; Cnidaria; Anthozoa; Malacalcyonacea; Xeniidae
Exons: 3
Source: RefSeq, a predicted model, not a curated record
UGAAGACGUAUGAAAAGAAAGAUUGGCAAAAAAGCCUGAGGAUGAAGCGUUUUCACUUCAGAAAGAAAACUCUAUAUGUUGGAGAUAUAGCUUAUAGAAAAUUGUGCAACGUUUAUAUCAUCACACUCGUCAUCAUCAAAAUGGCAGACAGUCUGUUGCAUUUUUUGACCAAUAGGAAUGAUGAAAUGAUUAACUGCAGUUACUAAUCUCAUUAAACAUGCAGGACCAAGUUACUUAGAAAAUUGUUGCUAAGCAUCAAAACCAAACAUGGGGACGAUAUCGAAAGUCUUUUCGUUUUUUAAAAACGAGUCAAUGUGACGUUAAAUUUUUCGCAUCUGUUAUGCUAUUGUUUUGCGAUCUUUUUACUGAGGCUGUUUUAGACAAUGCAGGUUGUGCCCUCAAUUCUUGGUUAGGGGCAGGAAGCUUAGAUUUUGGAAUGUUUGCGAUGGUUACCUCUUUGAUUGUU